GUUUCCGUGGUGUAGUUGGUUAUCACGUCAGUCUAACACACUGGAGGUCUCCAGUUCGUACCUGGACGGAAACA
RNAcentral lists this transfer RNA (74 nucleotides) under Marchantia polymorpha subsp. ruderalis. It matches the Rfam family "tRNA". Rfam says of the family: Transfer RNA (tRNA) molecules are approximately 80 nucleotides in length. Their secondary structure includes four short double-helical elements and three loops (D, anti-codon, and T loops). Further hydrogen bonds mediate the characteristic L-shaped molecular structure. tRNAs have two regions of fundamental functional importance: the anti-codon, which is responsible for specific mRNA codon recognition, and the 3' end, to which the tRNAs corresponding amino acid is attached (by aminoacyl-tRNA synthetases). tRNAs cope with the degeneracy of the genetic code in two manners: having more than one tRNA (with a specific anti-codon) for a particular amino acid; and 'wobble' base-pairing, i.e. permitting non-standard base-pairing at the 3rd anti-codon position. The record is from Rfam by way of RNAcentral. Lineage: Eukaryota; Viridiplantae; Streptophyta; Marchantiopsida; Marchantiales; Marchantiaceae.